UUUAUCUUUUUGAGAUAGGGUUUUGCUAUAUAGUUAGGCUGGCUUUAAACUUGUGAUAAUCCACCUGUUUUAGCCUCUUGAGUGCUGAGAUUAUAGGCAUGUACUACCACACUUGGCUAGAAUUUUCUCAUUAAGUAUAAUGCCAGUUUUGGGGAGAAGUAGAUGGGUAGAUAUCUGUACUUACUUUAUUAAAAUAUUUUCCCCUUAAAUUAAGAAUGAAUAUUGAAUCUCACAAAAUCCUCUUUAAUAUAAUGGAGAUUAAUCUUGACUUUUUAUUAGUUUAAUAAAAUAAAUUACGUUUUAGAUUUACUCAUGCAGAACCAUCUUGUAUUCCUAGAAUAAGCCACGCCUGAUUGUGAUGUAUUAUUUUUUAAGGUGCUGAUAGACUCAAUUUGCUAACCUUAUUUACAUUUUAUCAAUUAUUUUAGUGGAAUGAUACUUUUCUUAAGCACUUAAUAAUCUUGGAAUAUAUAAAAAAUGCAACUUAUAGGUCUUCAUGAUAGAGUGUGUCUUUUAUCGUUAUAAUAACCCUCUUUGCUUUCUUUGUUGCACGCUGCCGAGUUCAUCCUGAUCAAAUACCAAGACUGGGAGCCAAGUUUACAUUUUAUUUGCAUUUGUCAAAUUCAGACUGCCUCAAGAGCUGUCACGUUUCUCAUAUGAGGAUCAAGCCCAAGGUUUCCUCAGCAAUGUGCCAAGGUCAGAGACCCUCCUGCUGGCAGAAGGAGCAGACAGAGUUCAAGGCCAGGAGAGCGAGUGUGAGGGAGCGGCUGUUGUG
This 775-nucleotide long non-coding RNA is filed under the name Chinchilla lanigera (long-tailed chinchilla). RNAcentral's name for it is "lncRNA (ENSCLAG00000029030.1)". The record is from RNAcentral. Lineage: Eukaryota; Metazoa; Chordata; Mammalia; Rodentia; Chinchillidae.